AGGGCCCUGCAAUGCGCGUGUACAAACCGAUAAGUUUUGAGCCAACACCUUUUUCUAGGGAACCUUACUCUGGGCAUGGCCUAUAUGCCUCCUAAACUGAGGACAUAGAAAGUGUUCAGGAGGGUACCCACCUGCGGAGAGCAGGUUCAAAACAUCGGCUCCACGGCAUAUGUGGGGUUUUU
This 182-nucleotide non-coding RNA is filed under the name Bacillota bacterium. RNAcentral describes it as "6S RNA". It matches the Rfam family "6S / SsrS RNA". Rfam says of the family: E. coli 6S RNA was the first non coding RNA to be sequenced, but its function was unknown until recently. The record is from RNAcentral. Lineage: Bacteria; Bacillati; Bacillota. RNAcentral also lists the same sequence under 1 other name.